UUGUGUGUGUGUGCACGUGCAUAUAGUGGGCCCUAAUUACACACACACACACACACACACACACACACACACAUACACACAAACA
Molecule: microRNA precursor, 85 nt
Filed under: Notamacropus eugenii (tammar wallaby)
Lineage: Eukaryota; Metazoa; Chordata; Mammalia; Diprotodontia; Macropodidae
Description: miRNA (ENSMEUG00000017822.1)
Source: RNAcentral